CCACAGCAGUGACAGCACCAGAUCCUUAACCCACUAAUCCACCAGGGAACUCCACUGGGAACUCUUUUUGCCAAGUAUCUCUUGCUGCCAGCCCCACUCCUCUCCAGGAUCUGCACUGUUUUCCUUCUGGACUUCAACGGGCUCUACCAAGUCUCGCAACUGCUCUCAUAGAAUUAAUUCCUCCUGCGCCCAACGUCUUCUCCACGGAAUCAUCAGAAUUCCCUUUCUGCAACCACCUGGGAUCAUAUCAGUCUAUGUUCAAAGCACCUGGUGGUCCCCAAAUUCAUAAGGCUGGUACCUGGGGGGCCUGUCCCCAUGGCCCUGCUCCAUUUAUGCUCGCCCCACCCAUCUGAGCUUCUUGCCCUGGAAAUUCCACACUGUUCCUUGACUCCAAGCCUUGGUAUAUGCUAAGCCUUCUGCCUGGCACAGAAUUCUCAGAAGGCUUGUCACUUGCCAGGGAGCCCUAACAGAGUGGUCUGAAGUUCAGGAAAAAGAAGAAAAGCAAAGGAAGAAGGGAAGAGGGCAGACAGCGGAGGAUUUGCUGCAGUUGGGUUUUCAAGAACAAAAAAUACACAUAGGGGAGGCAUGGGAUCCUUCCUUCCCAAACAUAUUUCCUUUUGGCCUGAGAUGUUACAAGACUCCAAAUUGGAGCUUGUCUUGUCUCCUCCAAAAAAAAAAAAAAAAAAAAAAGACCUGUCUCACUGGCUCCUUGCAGAGGUAGAUUUAUAAACCAAAGAAGAUGGGUAUAUAUACACAAUGGAAUAUCACUCAGCCGUUAAAAGGAAAGAAAUAAUGGCACUUUUAGCAACAUGGAUGGACCUAGAAAUUAUCAUGCUAAGUUAAGUCAGUCAGACAAUGAGACACCAACAUCAAAUGCUAUCAUCUACAUGUGGACUCUAAAAAAAGACACAAUGAACUUCUUUGCAGAACAGAUACUGACUCACAGACUUUGAAAAAUUUACAGUUUUCAAAUGAGACAGGCUGGGGGUGGGGGUGGGGGAAUGGACUGAGGGUUUGGGAUGGACAUGCUAUAAAAUUUGGUUGUGAUGAUUGUUGUACACCUGUAAAUGUAAUACAAGUCAUUAAGUAAUAAAAAUAAAUCUAUGCAGAAUCUAUAAAUAAAU
Molecule: long non-coding RNA, 1124 nt
Filed under: Sus scrofa (pig)
Lineage: Eukaryota; Metazoa; Chordata; Mammalia; Artiodactyla; Suidae
Description: lncRNA (ENSSSCG00070003568.1)
Source: RNAcentral